GAUGAACGCUGGCGGCGUGCCUAAUACAUGCAAGUCGAGCGAACAGACGAGGAGCUUGCUCCUCUGACGUUAGCGGCGGACGGGUGAGUAACACGUGGAUAACCUACCUAUAAGACUGGGAUAACUUCGGGACACCGGAGCUAAUACCGGAUAAUAUCUUGAACCGCAUGGUUCAAUAGUGAAAGACGGUUUUGCUGUCACUUAUAGAUGGAUCCGCGCCGCAUUAGCUAGUUGGUACGGUAACGGCUUACCAAGGCGACGAUGCGUAGCCGACCUGUGAGAGGGAUCGGCCACACUGGAGCGGAGACGCGGUCCAGACUCCUACGGGAGGCAGCAGUAGGGAAUCUGCCGCAAUGGGCGAAAGCCUGACGGAGCAACGCCACGUGAGUGAUGAAGGUCUUCGGAUCGUAAAACUCUGUUAUUAGGGAAGAACAAAUGUGUAAGUAACUAUGCACGGCUUGACGGUACCUAAUCAGAAAGCCACGGCUAACUACGUG
This 497-nucleotide ribosomal RNA is filed under the name uncultured bacterium. RNAcentral's name for it is "partial 16S ribosomal RNA". It matches the Rfam family "Bacterial small subunit ribosomal RNA", at positions 28 to 507 of the family's 1533-position model. The record is from RNAcentral.